GACGUAGGGCGCGAGCGUUGUUCGGAUUUAUUGGGCGUAAAGAGCUCGUAGGCGGCUUGUCGCGUCGUCCGUGAAAACUUGGGGCUCAACCCCAAGCUUGCGGUCGAUACGGGCAGGCUAGAGUUCGGUAGGGGAGACUGGAAUUCCUGGUGUAGCGGUGAAAUGCGCAGAUAUCAGGAGGAACACCGGUGGCGAAGGCGGGUCUCUGGGCCGAUACUGACGCUGAGGAGCGAAAGCGUGGGGAGCGAACAGG
RNAcentral lists this ribosomal RNA (253 nucleotides) under uncultured bacterium. Its description in RNAcentral is "partial 16S ribosomal RNA". It matches the Rfam family "Bacterial small subunit ribosomal RNA", at positions 524 to 776 of the family's 1533-position model. The record is from RNAcentral.